CUAUUUAUUAAAUUUAUUUUCAAAAAUAUUAAAGGGUGUUAUAGGAAAAUAUGAAACAAAAUAUAGAUUAGUCUAAAGGGACAUAGUUACCAUUUUUUUGCUCUAAAAAAAACAGUUUUCCCUUGAAAAUUUAUUAAAUGCUUCACGCGGAAUGAGUUUGCAACUACUACAUAUUUCUACUAGAAUAUAAUUCUAAAAAACAUGAAUUUGCAAUAUCCAAACAACAAAGACCCAAAAGACCAAAACUGAAAUGGACAAUGGUCCAACAAAUAUCCAAGACCAAUUAAAGACAAACAACUCAAUUUUCUUUUCUCCCUCCUCUUCCUUGUCUGCUUUGUGGACUAUGUGAAGCUUCUUUUCUUCAUCGACAGCUAUGUUGGUUUUGCGAAUUUGGCGGGUGGGGUUUGAGGUUGCGAUGGUGUCUCUCUAUUGCGGCUCUGUGGAGGUCUGCUGUUCCACUUCCUUUUCAGGCGGUUUCUUGCCCAGGCGGAGGCUCCUGUUCCCUAAGGUCUUCUCGGAGGUCUUCUGUGCCGGUGUUGACGAGGGCAUCCCUAGGCGGUGGUUUUCUGUGCCGUAAGGCCUUGUCGGUGGUUUUCUCAGGCGACGGUGGUCAUGGAGUUUCUAGCGGCUAUGUUUUGGAUGCUUUAGUGCGUCUGUUUAUCUAGGAUUUCUGGCUCCGGUUUGUUCCAGAUCUGGGCUUAAGAGGGGAAUCGAUGGUCUGGUUUCGGUUCUGGUGUGCUUUGGCUCGGUGCUAGAUUCGCUAGGUGGUGGGAUCGUCGGCUUCUGUGCGGUAGUGGUGUGAUGUUCAAGCCGGUUCUAGAGCCAUUGAAGGUUAGUGGUCAAGCUCGAGCCUAUGUCUUCCCCGUUUGUGACCACUCCGAGGAUGACUGGUAACUUGUGUCUCUUAAGUCUCUGUCCGUUGAAAGAGGCUUUGUAGAGAAGACAGUUGUGGUGGUAGCUGGAGCUUAGUCGAAUUGAUUUUAUGUGCUUCUUUUUGUGUUCUCUGCUAGUCUGGGUCUCUUUGUUGAGGAGUGUCUCCAAAUCUUUUUCUUAGUUUCAGGUGAGGUUUUGGUUUGGAGAGUUGGGUUAAGAGAUGAGUCUGGCGCCAUAUGUCAGGUCGAGGACCUGUUGACGGUGCGGCAUAGCUGAAGGGGCAUUGCAGGUGCUUUCGCUGACGUCGUUUCUAGCCUUCUUCAACUCUAGCUCUUUUGUUGCUCACCGUUGCUUUGGAGAUUUCAAUUCUCGGUUGGGUAAACAACUGGGUGUAUGCGUGGGCAUGUUCAAGUGCUUCUAUUCCGACUUUGGAUUCUCUUCUCCAUUGUUGAAUUCUCAGGUAGUGCUUUUAAGGUUAUGGCUUUCUCUACAUGGUUCUGGCUUUGCUUGAAGAGGUUUGUGGCUAUGGUUUUUUUCUUCAACGGUGAAGCGUCCCGAGGUCCCUUGUGAUGCUUUUGACUUCUCCUCGGUGAAAAGGUUUGGUUAUGAGGCAUGUUUCGUUGCUCUGCUGUGAAUUCUAGCAGAUGGACAUUUUCUAUCUCUCGGGUUGAUUGUCUUGCAGUCCUUGUGUUGUUGGUCAAUCCUAAUCGGACGCCUGUCCUCGUAUUGUUUGGAUGUGCCUUUGAAGCCUCCGGUAGUCUAAGGUCCUUGGUAUUUGUCUUCUUCUUUGUCUUAGAACAUUCAGUUUCUUAGGUCAUCAAGUUUUGUUAUGAACAACCACAAAUUAAGCAAGAAGACAAUAGAGAACAAAACAUAUUGAGGCAAAUACCCGUUUAGGGUUUACUAUUAUUGUGUGAAUGAAUAAUCUUACAAACCCUUAGAUCAAUAUUAAUAGCAUCUUCAAAACCCGAUUUCCUUUAUCCUUUAGGAAUACAUACUUAUAUAAAAAAAAUUUUGGGCUUUUGGGUCUUUGUUGUUUGGAUAUUGCAAAUUCAUGUUUGUUGCAUUUACGUAGCAACAAAUUGAAUUGUUGCUAUUAAUGUCAUAUAAUUGCAACAAUUUUUUAUAACAAUUUUGUUGUAAAUUUACAACGUAUUUGUGCAACAUUAAUAAUGACAAAUCAUUGAUACGUUAAAUAUAUAGCAAAUAAUAUAACAAAUUAUUGCAAUUUAAUAGUAUUAAUGCAACAAGACAUUUAUAAAAUAUUUUGGUAUAAGUAGACGUAUGGAUGCAACUUAAAUUGUUAUAAAAAUUUCUAUAUAAAUUGUAGCGAAUGUUGUUUUAAUUUUUUCGAUGCAAUUUAUUUUGAACUAUAUAUUUGGUGCAAAUAUUUAGUGAGGAAAGUUAUCAUGGUUAACAAUUAAUAUUUCAAUAGAUCAUUAUGUUUUAUUGGUUGUUCUAUUCCGGUCUGGCUUCCCAGACCACCUCAAGUUUGAGUAAUAGAAGAGCCGUUUGCUGUCAAAAAAAAAACAAUUAAUAUUUCAAUAAAAUUAAUAGAUUGUUAAAUGUGUUGCAGUAUUUUGUUAUAAAAAUAUUAGAUGGAUUGUUUUUUACAGUAAAUAUAUUUGAUAACACAAAAGCCAAAUAACUAACUUUAUUAAAUAAACUUAAAUAUGAGAAAGUUAAACAACGCAUCAGCAAUGAUAAUUUGAAAGCUAAAAAACAUAACAAAAACUUAGAAAAAUAACUAAACCACAACUGAGACUUAAUUGUUGACACUUGUGGACAAAAGAUAGCAGCCAGCUCGUGUUUAUGAGGUUCCAGCCCGUUUCGAUCAGACAUUCGACUCUUAGAAGCUUUUUUUAUUUUCCUUAGCUUUGUCUGUUUCCCAGUAGGAAACCAAAUCUUUGUAGAAAUCAUCAGGGAUCCAAUAUGGCUGCUUACCUCUUUCUUUCACUCGGCUAAUCAUAUCUAUCCGCUUUGUUGCAGCACAUUUGCAAAACAUCUUUCGCACCUCAGAUUCAAUCAAAUGAUUCCAAGAGAACUUGCUCUGAGAAUGUAUUAUAAAAGAAAAGUUAGAGUGCUAUAGAUUAGACUAAAACUAUAUUUGCCAUCCGGAGAUGAGUUGCUCCUUGGUUGGGCUGCUCCUUGAUUAUGACCCUCAUGUUCCACAAUGAUCCAUUCACUUUGGAAGGACUAAGAACACAUAAGACAUUCAUUGGUUGGGGUGCUCCUGUAUUAUGACCCUCAUUUGCCAUCUAGAGAUGAGUUGCUUUCAAAGAACUACGUGAAGUUUACAGAAUUAUUAACAGCACUGUGUAUAUAUAUAAAUAUGAAAACAAUAAAAUCUAAACCUCUUGCUAUUGGAUAAUCCAUAUCUUUUUAGCAUAAUAUUCUCUAAACAAACUAAAGUCAAGCGGUAAAUGAAAUAUAA
Molecule: long non-coding RNA, 3307 nt
Organism: Brassica rapa (field mustard)
Lineage: Eukaryota; Viridiplantae; Streptophyta; Magnoliopsida; Brassicales; Brassicaceae
Source: RefSeq, a predicted model, not a curated record